GUGCCAGCAGCCGCGGUAAUACGGAGGGUGCAAGCGUUAAUCGGAAUAACUGGGCGUAAAGCGCACGCAGGCGGUUAGAUAAGUCAGAUGUGAAAUCCCCGGGCUCAACCUGGGAACUGCAUUUGAAACUGUCUGACUAGAGUCUUGUAGAGGGGGGUAGAAUUCCAGGUGUAGCGGUGAAAUGCGUAGAGAUCUGGAGGAAUACCGGUGGCGAAGGCGGCCCCCUGGACAAAGACUGACGCUCAGGUGCGAAAGCGUGGGGAGCAAACAGGAUUAGAAACCCCUGUAGUCC
Molecule: ribosomal RNA, 292 nt
Filed under: uncultured bacterium
Lineage: Bacteria
Description: partial 16S ribosomal RNA
Rfam family: Bacterial small subunit ribosomal RNA
Source: RNAcentral